This 467-nucleotide ribosomal RNA is filed under the name uncultured bacterium. Its description in RNAcentral is "partial 16S ribosomal RNA". It matches the Rfam family "Bacterial small subunit ribosomal RNA", at positions 29 to 507 of the family's 1533-position model. The record is from RNAcentral.
ACGCACGCUGGCGGCGUGCUUAACACAUGCAAGUCGAACGGAAAGGCCCUGCUUUUGUGGGGUGCUCGAGUGGCGAACGGGUGAGUAACACGUGAGUAACCUGCCCUUGACUUUGGGAUAACUUCAGGAAACUGGGGCUAAUACCGGAUAGGAGCUCCUGCUGCAUGGUGGGGGUUGGAAAGUUUCGGCGGUUGGGGAUGGACUCGCGGCUUAUCAGCUUGUUGGUGGGGUAGUGACUUACCAAGGCUUUGACGGGUAGCCGGCCUGAGAGGGUGACCGGCCACAUUGGGACUGAGAUACGGCCCAGACUCCUACGGGAGGCAGCAGUGGGGAAUAUUGCACAAUGGGCGGAAGCCUGAUGCAGCAACGCCGCGUGCGGGAUGACGGCCUUCGGGUUGUAAACCGCUUUCGCCUGUGACGAAGCGUGAGUGACGGUAAUGGGUAAAGAAGCACCGGCUAACUACGUG